Molecule: long non-coding RNA, 1326 nt
Organism: Alligator mississippiensis (American alligator)
Lineage: Eukaryota; Metazoa; Chordata; Crocodylia; Alligatoridae
Exons: 4
Source: RefSeq, a predicted model, not a curated record
GACCAGGUUACGAAACGCCUGGACACAGGAGGAGGGGUGGAUGUCGUAUACCUGGACUUCAGGAAGGCCUUCGAUACGGAAAAGCAUCCACAAAAGUGUCAUGGAACAUGGACUGUGUUGAUACUUGGAGGAUAAUCCAGCUAUCUUCAGAGGUGGUGAACUUCUGCCUCUUGAACUGUCUAGGAAGUGUAUCCUAGAGAAAGCUGGCCACUUAUUCCUUCUGGAACUAAGGUCACCUGAGGAAGAUUGUGACUUUCUACAUGCUCCCACAGCCCAUCCUACUUCAGAGCCUCCUGCAGUAUUAUCUCCGUGUUCCUGGGGAAGCCUGGCACAAAAUGCAGCCUGUCUGACUCACAAAGAGCUCUCCCCCUCCCCACCUCUGCCUGAACAAGAACUGAUUAGAGGAAGGAAUAACAGAAGACAAAGAAGAUGCAGUGGGAGAUGCACCUAAAGCCCUCCAGACAAGGGUGAUAAGAAUGAAGCAACUCCCCUGGUCUCAAUUGCAUCCAAGAUGGAACCAGAUGACAACUCAUUUAAAUGGGAGACGGGGCAGGAAAGCACCUUCAUUAGCAUUCAGGAUGGAGAACAGAGAUUCCAAGGCAAGGACCGCACUGAAUUCUGGGAUCAGAAAAGCAGGGGAGCACUGAAUGAUGGGGAAUCCUUGCUCCAAAUGCUAAUCAACCCAUAUCUACACACACCCAGCUCAGCAUUUAUCAGACCAAUUCUAGUAAUGACUCCUCUAUUGGUAUCCCAAACACUGAGUUUUCCUGUCUGUAUUGUGAGCUCUCUCAGAGUAAUGCCACCUAUAGCCAGCAGUGAUCAAUUCCUAUUAUCCAGCAUAUGAACCACUGUUUACCCCUAAAAAAAAACCUAGUGUUCUCCCUUGAGCCAUUGUUAGUUCUCUACAAAAACCCUUACACAAGCUCAAGUUUCUGUCCUGGUGCUUGGAUCCAAAAGCUGCACCAGUUCCACUCCUUUUCUGCUUAGAAUCCCUCCACUGGUCGCGCUGAAGACUCUGCAUGUCUACAAACUCCAACAAAUACCUGGGAACCUUGACUGGUUCAAGCUUCGCUGAGUGGUGAGACUCCAACUCUCUCUCUCUCUCUCUCUCUUUCUCUGACUCCAGGACCCUGACUUUUAUUCUCUUACUCCAGGCACAGCUUUCUAAACCUGCCUUUUGCUAGUCAAACUUGAGCUAGACUUCCCCAAAACCCUAACUGAAACUGUGUAAUAUUGUAACUGUUUAUUUGUCUCUCUCUUGUAUGGCUAUUAUUCUGGUUUCAUCAUAAGUUCAUAUACCUGGCAAUAAAUAGCUUUUAUGGUCAA